UAUGAAGUGUUUGUCAUAAGUAGAGGAUUGUUUGUAAAAUAAACAUGCACAUACGUUAAACCUGAACGGAACUGAAAAUGCAACAGGGUAUAUCUGAACCUGAGGCAAAACAAAAUAGGGGUAGGUGGGAUACGAACCCCAGACCCGUCGCUUAUAACGCACGGCGAUGACCAACUUACCUAACAUAUAGCUUGCAAACGACAGCACUGACACAGCUAAACAUUGUAUAAUCCAAAACGGAUCGAGGCAAAAAAAGAAGCCUUUUGGCCAAGGCGCUGAGCUCCUCACCGGCAACGAAUGGGAAGGC
Molecule: long non-coding RNA, 307 nt
Filed under: Hordeum vulgare
Lineage: Eukaryota; Viridiplantae; Streptophyta; Magnoliopsida; Poales; Poaceae
Description: long non-coding RNA (HVUL_LNC019302)
Source: RNAcentral